AGACUCGAUACUACACUCUUUGAGAUUGGACUUUAGGGAAGCUUCGGUCAACCACUUGGUGUUGCACUGAAGUGGACUUAAGGAAAGGUCAAUGAUUUGAGAUCCUUCUAGAACCCGGUUACUAUUCUAAGACAGGUUGAACCAACCAAACUUCAGUGGGGAGGGUAUUUACCUAUGGAACUCACGCAAGCCUUAAAACCUAGGAAUGAUUGUUGUGUGACUUGCUUGUGCUUGUUAUUUAUCUAACAACAUGACAUCAUAACAACAUAACAUCAUAACAUCAUGGCAUUGUACUAACCAUUUCAAGGAUUUAGGGAUUUAACUCUGCUAAAAAAAAAAACAGAAAAAACAAAAACAAAAGCAAAAACAAAAGAAAAAAAAAAAAAAAAGCUCUUUUUGUUAGUUUAUGCAAAGUUAAAUCCCGAAAGUCCUUGAAAACAUUUCAUACAUUGCAUUGCAUCGCAUAACAGGUAUUCUAAAGGAUCAGUGUUCUC
This 494-nucleotide long non-coding RNA is filed under the name Lathyrus oleraceus (garden pea). RNAcentral's name for it is "Pisum sativum (pea) long non-coding RNA (PSAT_LNC028667)". Lineage: Eukaryota; Viridiplantae; Streptophyta; Magnoliopsida; Fabales; Fabaceae. The record is from RNAcentral.